This 495-nucleotide ribosomal RNA is filed under the name uncultured bacterium. RNAcentral describes it as "partial 16S ribosomal RNA". It matches the Rfam family "Bacterial small subunit ribosomal RNA", at positions 28 to 507 of the family's 1533-position model. The record is from RNAcentral.
GACGAACGCUGGCGGCGUGCCUAAUACAUGCAAGUAGAACGCUGAAGGAGGAGCUUGCUCUUCUGGAUGAGUUGCGAACGGGUGAGUAACGCGUAGGUAACCUGCCUGGUAGCGGGGGAUAACUAUUGGAAACGAUAGCUAAUACCGCAUAACAGUAGAUGUUGCAUGAUAUUUACUUAAAAGGUGCAAUUGCAUCACUACCAGAUGGACCUGCGUUGUAUUAGCUAGUUGGUGGGGUAACGGCUCACCAAGGCGACGAUACAUAGCCGACCUGAGAGGGUGAUCGGCCACACUGAGACUGAGACACGGCACAGACGGCUACAGGAAGCAGCAGUAGGGAAUCUUCGGGAAUGAGCGGAGGUCUGGCCGAGCAGCGCCGCAUGAGUGAAGAAGGAUGUCGGAUCGUGAAGCUCGGUUGUAAGGGAGGAAAGAGUGUGAGAGUGGAAAGAUCACACUGUGACGGUAUCUGACCAGAAAGGGACGGCUAACUACGUG